Molecule: ribosomal RNA, 239 nt
Filed under: uncultured bacterium
Lineage: Bacteria
Description: partial 16S ribosomal RNA
Rfam family: Archaeal small subunit ribosomal RNA
Source: RNAcentral
UACAGGUAGCACGAGUGGUGUCCACGUAUAUUGAGUCUAAAGCGUCCGUAGCCGGAUUGGCAAAUCUUCUGUGAAAUCCUACAGCUUAACUGAAGGACUUGCAGGGGAGACUACCAGUCUAGGAAGUGGAGGAGGUACUGGGUACUACAGGGGGAACGGUAAAUGUUAUAAUCCUCGGAGGACUACCAGUGGCGGAGGCGUCUGCCUAGAACAGGUCUGACGGUGAGGGACGAAGGCCA